UUAAAAUGUAAAUUUAUAUACUAAAUUAUUAAUAGUUAUGAUCUUUAAAGUUAAAAAUUUUGGCGGUAUUUUAGUCUAUUCAGAGGAACCUGUUCUAUAAUUGAUAGUCCACGAUAAUUUAUAUUUUAUUUAUUAAUUUGUAUAUCGUCGUUUUUAAAAAUUUUAUAAGAAUUAUAAUUUUUAAUAUAUAUAAUUAUAUAAUAAUUCAGAUCAAGGUGCAGUUUAUAAUAAAAAAAGUAAUGGGUUACAAUAAAUUUAUUUAUUAUGAAUAAGAAUAUUAAUUAUUUUUUGAAGGAGGAUUUGAAAGUAAAUAAAUUAAAUUUAAUUUAUUGAUUUUAGCUCUAAGAUAUGU
This 352-nucleotide ribosomal RNA is filed under the name Philodytes umbrinus. Its description in RNAcentral is "partial 12S ribosomal RNA". Lineage: Eukaryota; Metazoa; Arthropoda; Insecta; Coleoptera; Dytiscidae. The record is from RNAcentral.